ACGCACGCUGGCGGCGUGCUUAACACAUGCAAGUCGAGCGGUAAGGCCUUUCGGGGUACACGAGCGGCGAACGGGUGAGUAACACGUGGGUGAUCUGCCCUGCACUUCGGGAUAAGCCUGGGAAACUGGGUCUAAUACCGGAUAUGACCUCCUAUCGCAUGGUGGGUGGUGGAAAGAUUUAUCGGUGCAGGAUGGGCCCGCGGCCUAUCAGCUUGUUGGUGGGGUAAUGGCCUACCAAGGCGACGACGGGUAGCCGACCUGAGAGGGUGACCGGCCACACUGGGACUGAGACACGGCCCAGACUCCUACGGGAGGCAGCAGUGGGGAAUAUUGCACAAUGGGCGAAAGCCUGAUGCAGCGACGCCGCGUGAGGGAUGACGGCCUUCGGGUUGUAAACCUCUUUCAGCAGGGACGAAGCGCAAGUGACGGUACCUGCAGAAGAAGCACCGGCUAACUACGUG
This 461-nucleotide ribosomal RNA is filed under the name uncultured bacterium. RNAcentral's name for it is "partial 16S ribosomal RNA". It matches the Rfam family "Bacterial small subunit ribosomal RNA", at positions 29 to 507 of the family's 1533-position model. The record is from RNAcentral.